GGAUAAUUAUGUCAGCUCAAGCCUCUUGGCCUGCAAAGAGAGGUUAAUGGUCUGCCUCUUGGAUUUCGAACACGAGAUGUUAAGUUCCAUUACGAUGGGAAGGGUAACUUGUUUUUCGACUCUUGAGCUCUGUAGUUUGCCCCUUUGAUAGAUAAUGAUAUUCUUGUAAAAGCUAGAGUGGGAAGUUUGUAUGCAUCUUUUAAUUGUCUGGCUUUUGAUCCUCUUCCCUUGGAAAACCAUUUCUUCAUUCUGAUGUUGGUUUUAAAUAAUUUUCUUUUUGCCUUCCUUUUC
RNAcentral lists this unclassified non-coding RNA (291 nucleotides) under Hevea brasiliensis (rubber tree). Lineage: Eukaryota; Viridiplantae; Streptophyta; Magnoliopsida; Malpighiales; Euphorbiaceae. The record is from RNAcentral.